AAUUGUCUCAUCCAGCAGAAAAGACUGAAUCCUGUGAUAGUUUCUUGUCUGAGGAUCAAUCUAUAUAAAUAUAGGAAGGUAUGAUACCAAGUUGGCCACAGGAUUAUGCAUAUUCCAGGUCCAUCCACUCACAAAGACUGUUCACUAAGGUGUGGAAGAAUUGAAACUGGCCAUACCCAUGAAUCAUGGGUCUUUGAAAUAUUAAAGUAUCAGCAUAGGUGCUUGUUCCAUCAAUACUAAUCACUGUUACAAUCCCAUCCAUCUUUCAUUAUUUGGAGUAGCUGUAAAAUCCAUGAUCUGGUGGUCACUCCUUUCAUGAGGCAUCUCUUCACACUCUGAAGUAGGCUAUUCCUCACACUGCAGACAAAUGGUCCAUCAUUCUCUUCUUCAAACCAUUCUCUCUUGAAUACCUAUGAAGGAAUUGGACUUGGAUGAAGGAUACCCAAGACAAAGAGCACAAGAUGAGGGAUGAGAUAAUCACUGCAGAAGUGAAGCAAGUUAUACUGUCCUCCUGGCUGUUCUAAGAACAAGGCAUCUGGAUCUGGAAAAUCUCCCUCAUGCCUGGAAUGCUCUCUUCAUUCAACUUUGGCUGCUAACUUCCCUGGCUUCCUUUAAGUUCCAGGGUUAUGGACAGUUUAUCAUGGAAGAAUAUGAAAGGAAAAUGGUCAACAUGAAACAGGGCCCUGCUCCAUCUUAUUGUGAGGAAGAAAAAGAGAACAUAAACAAAUGUCUUUUAACUCAUAUGCACAGACAAGCAAAAUGAAUUCCCUCAAUAGAUAUAUGGCUAAGGAUAUGAAGAGAUAGUUCUAAGAAAAGAAGUUCAGGAUUAUCUAUAACCAUAAUUUUAAUAAAAAUUAAAUUAAUAAUAUAAAUGAAAAUUAA
This 882-nucleotide long non-coding RNA is filed under the name Monodelphis domestica (gray short-tailed opossum). Its description in RNAcentral is "lncRNA (ENSMODG00000031605.2)". Lineage: Eukaryota; Metazoa; Chordata; Mammalia; Didelphimorphia; Didelphidae. The record is from RNAcentral.